RNAcentral lists this unclassified non-coding RNA (200 nucleotides) under soil metagenome. Its description in RNAcentral is "partial contains internal transcribed spacer 2 and large subunit ribosomal RNA". The record is from RNAcentral.
GCCUGUUCGAGCGUCAUUACACCACUCAAGCCUGGCUUGGUAUUGGGCGGUAGGGCUUCCCUACGCCUUAAUUUCACCGGCUAGACGACCCGUAUCUCAGCGUUGUGGUAUUCAAUUCGCUGGCGAGAAGGGAGGUUUGCGCCGUUAAAAUUUCUAUUAAGGUUGACCUCGGAUCAGGUAGGGAUACCCGCUGAACUUAA